ACCUACGGGGCGCAGCAGUGGGGAAUAUUGCACACUGGGGGAAACCCUGAUGCAGCGACGCCGCGUGAGUGAAGAAGUAUUUCGGUAUGUAAAGCUCUAUCAGCAGGGAAGAAAAUGACUGUACCUGAUUAAGAAGCCCCGGCUAACUACGUGCCAGCAGCCGCGGUAAUACGUAGGGGGCAAGCGUUAUCCGGUUUUACUGGGUGUACAGGGAGCGUAGACGGCAGCGCAAGUCUGACGUGAAAUGCCGGGGCUUAUCCC
Molecule: ribosomal RNA, 261 nt
Filed under: uncultured bacterium
Lineage: Bacteria
Description: partial 16S ribosomal RNA
Rfam family: Bacterial small subunit ribosomal RNA
Source: RNAcentral